Molecule: ribosomal RNA, 292 nt
Filed under: uncultured bacterium
Lineage: Bacteria
Description: partial 16S ribosomal RNA
Rfam family: Bacterial small subunit ribosomal RNA
Source: RNAcentral
GUGUCAGCAGCCGCGGUAAUACGAGGGGGGCUAGUGUUGUUCGGAAUCACUGGGCGUAAAGGGAGCGUAGGCGGGUUUUUAAGUUAGGUGUUUAAUCCCGGGGCCCAACCCCGGACCGGCACUUAAAACUGGGAAUCUUGAAUAGUGGAGAGGUCAGUGGAAUUAGAGGUGUAGCGGUGGAAUGCGUAGAGAUCUCUAAGAACACCAGUUGCGAAGGCGGCUGACUGGACACAUAUUGACGCUGAGGCUCGAAAGCAUGGGGAGCAAACAGGAUUAGAAACCCCCGUAGUCC